This 1657-nucleotide long non-coding RNA is filed under the name Phoenix dactylifera (date palm). Its description in RNAcentral is "long non-coding RNA (PDAC_LNC001098)". Lineage: Eukaryota; Viridiplantae; Streptophyta; Magnoliopsida; Arecales; Arecaceae. The record is from RNAcentral.
GAAGUCUCGGGCUCGUUGGAUUUGAGCGGUGCCCUAGGCUUUAUCUAUAAAACGAGCUUAUGUUUCUCUCUCUAGCAACCCAUCCGAUGAUUCUUGAAUUGAGCCAGCCAUCAAUCUCAAGCUUUUUCGUGGAGAUUACUUGAGGGUUUUACGAUCAAUCCAGCUGCUAGAGCUCGUCAGAGUUCAAGGUAAAUGACUCAGAAACUUCUUCUCUUUCUUUUUCUGGAUUCAAGGAUAUUGGGACCACCUUGUUGAAGCCGGCCAGCCACCCAAUCUCGUCAUGCAUCAUCUUCCUUGUUUCGGCCUAAACCCCCAUUUUCUUCUGCUUCUUCCAUUGAUGGCCAUUGCCAACAUUGUUGCUGCCAUGAUUUUUGUUGAAAUUUGGUUUCCUAGUUGAUGCCGUAUGACAUCGGGUUUGCCGCGGCCUAUUGCUGCCAUGUCUCAAUUUUUUCUUGUCUCUCUACUUUGGUUUCUUUUUUUUUGUUGCCCAUCGCUAGUUGCCGGAUUAGGUCUACCUUCGCCACUUCCCCGCGUAUUCCUAACCACCGCCACCACCCUAGAUCUUGUCUCUCUUCCUUCAUUUUGAGAAGAAACGCCAUGGUUUCUCUUUCGUUUCCUCUAUCUUCUCUCUCUUUCUCCCUUCUUUUUCAUCCUUUUUCUCUCCUCUCUCUAGUUGAUAUAUGGAAUUUCAUAGAAGGGAUUCAAGGGAUUCAAUGGUGGACCCCUGGUGGACUGCAAUAGAGAGUCUCAGAUUGUUAAUGUACAUCCCGAUUUUUAGAAGGAGGUAUGGACUGAGUUGAGUCUGUCGCCAGCAGAGAUAAAAUUCCUAGAUAUUAAUCAUCUCUAUAUAGAAGCUAUUUUUGUGCACCAAGAAUUUUGCUUUGCGUGGUAUAUGAGAACUGCUCAUUUUAUACUUACCUAUGAAGCAUAUAUGGUUCUUUGGUACUUGCAUAUAGUGUAUUUUGCAAAAGAGUAUAUGAUCUUGAAUUAUAUUUAAAUAAUAAACAUGUAAUUGAAUUGUAUAUCUAAAUGUGGGUUGCAGUAUUUAGGACUAGCCGCGUUGUUGAUGUCCUGCUACACGCGAAAAAUGUAGUACUAUUGAUGUCCCACCAUAGGCUGAAAAUAUGGUACAGUUGAUGCUCCACCAUAGGCCAAAAAUAUGGUUAUGGUAAUCUAGAGUAGAGAACCUAUAUUAUCGGAUCCGAUAUAUGCUAAUUUGAGAUUAUUAUUUGAUGUGGUUUGUUACAUUAAAGGAUAUAUAUUUGCUAUGCAUGUUGUAUGAUUAUGGUAUUUUGUAGUAUGAAAUUUAUAUAAAUAACAAUUAUUUGAUAAUUUGUCAUUUAUUAUUCUUACAAUAAUAUGGGUAUGUAGAAAUUUUUACCAAGUUGUAAAGCUCAUAUAACCUCUUUCGUUUUCUUUCAAAGUUUCAGGAUGCGUAGCACUUAGCUAUGGUUAGGAUUACAGGUGAAAGAAUGAAUAGAUAGAGCAUCAUCGCUACCGAUCAUAUGAUUAAAUUUUGUAUUUGUACAAAUUUUUUUGUUUGUUACGAAUUGAGAUCAUUAUUGUUUGCUGAUACUGAGGUUGUAACGAUGUUUUAGACUUUGCAUAUUUUUGUGGACUUUGUCUUAGAGAGUAUGCGGCCAUGUCACAUGGUCGA